GCCUACGGGGCGCAGCAGUGAGGAAUAUUGGUCAAUGGGCGCGAGCCUGAACCAGCCAAGUCGCGUGAGGGAAGACGGUCCUAUGGAUUGUAAACCUCUUUUGUCGGGGAGCAAAAGACGCCACGUGUGGCGUUCCGAGAGUACCCGAAGAAAAAGCAUCGGCUAACUCCGUGCCAGCAGCCGCGGUAAUACGGAGGAUGCGAGCGUUAUCCCGAUUUAUUGGGUUUAAAGGGUGCGCAGGCGGAAGAUCAAGUCAGCGGUAAAAUUGAGAGUCCCAACCUCUCCGAGCCGUUGAAACUGGUUUU
RNAcentral lists this ribosomal RNA (305 nucleotides) under uncultured bacterium. RNAcentral's name for it is "bacterial SSU rRNA". It matches the Rfam family "Bacterial small subunit ribosomal RNA", at positions 337 to 640 of the family's 1533-position model. The record is from RNAcentral.